RNAcentral lists this ribosomal RNA (388 nucleotides) under uncultured bacterium. Its description in RNAcentral is "bacterial SSU rRNA". It matches the Rfam family "Bacterial small subunit ribosomal RNA", at positions 28 to 417 of the family's 1533-position model. The record is from RNAcentral.
GACGAACGCUGGCGGCGUGCUUAACACAUGCAAGUCGAGCGGUAAGGCCCUUUCGGGGGUACACGAGCGGCGAACGGGUGAGUAACACGUGGGUGACCUGCCCUCAGCUCUGGGAUAAGCCUGGGAAACCGGGUCUAAUACUGGAUAUGACUCCAUGACGCAUGUUGUGGGGUGGAAAGCCUUGUGCGGCUGAGGAUGGGCCCGCGGCCUAUCAGCUUUGUUGGUGGGGUGAGGCCUACCAAGGCGACGACGGGUAGCCGGCCUGAGAGGGCGACCGGCCACACUGGGACUGAGACACGGCCCAGACUCCUACGGGAGGCAGCAGUGGGGAAUCUUGCGCAAUGGGCGAAAGCCUGACGCAGCGACGCCGCGUGAGGGAUGACGGCCU